This is a ribosomal RNA of Macadamia integrifolia, 118 nucleotides long. Lineage: Eukaryota; Viridiplantae; Streptophyta; Magnoliopsida; Proteales; Proteaceae. The record is from RefSeq and is a predicted model, not a curated record.
GGGUGCGAUCAUACCAGCACUAAUGCACCAAAUCCCAUAAAACUCUGUAGUUAAGCGUGCUUGGGUGAGAGUAGUAUUAGAAUGGGUGACCACCUGGGAAGUCCUCAUGUUGCACCUU